This 253-nucleotide ribosomal RNA is filed under the name uncultured bacterium. RNAcentral's name for it is "partial 16S ribosomal RNA". It matches the Rfam family "Bacterial small subunit ribosomal RNA", at positions 524 to 776 of the family's 1533-position model. The record is from RNAcentral.
GACGAACCGUGCGAACGUUGUUCGGAAUCACUGGGCUUAAAGGGCGCGUAGGCGGGCUGACAAGUCUGGGGUGAAAUGCCGCGGCUCAACCGUGGAACUGCCUCAGAUACUGUCGGCCUCGAGGAAGGUAGGGGCAUGCGGAACUGUAGGUGGAGCGGUGAAAUGCGUUGAUAUCUACAGGAACUCCGGUGGCGAAGGCGGCGUGCUGGAUCUCUUCUGACGCUGAGGCGCGAAAGCUAGGGGAGCAAACGGG